Molecule: ribosomal RNA, 377 nt
Filed under: uncultured bacterium
Lineage: Bacteria
Description: bacterial SSU rRNA
Rfam family: Bacterial small subunit ribosomal RNA
Source: RNAcentral
AAUGAACGCUGGCGGCGUGCUUUACACAUGCAAGUCGAGCGAGGCGGCCCGCAAGGGUCAGUCGAGCGGCGAACGGGUGAGUAACGCGUGGAUAACCUGCCCUGAGGUGUGGAACAACCAGGGGAAACUCUGGCUAAUACCGCAUGAUACCGAGAGGUCAAAGGGGCGUCNCAAGGCGUCUCGCCACAGGAGGGGUCCGGCGUCCGAUUAGCUAGUUGGUAGGGUAAGNGGCCUACCAAGGCCACGAUCGGUAGCCGGCCUCGAGAGGGUGAUCGGCCACACUGGAACUGAGACACGGUCCAGACUCCUACGGGAGGGCAGCAGUGGGGAAGUUUUGUCGCAAUGGGCUAACGCCUGACGCAGCAACGCCGCGUGGA